GGACUACUGGGGUAUCUAAUCCUGUUUGAUCCCCACACUUUCGUGCCUCAGCGUCAGUUAAAGCUUAGUAAGCUGUCUACACUAUCGGUGUUCUUGACGAUAUCUAAGCAUUUCACCGCUACACCGUCAAUUCCGCCUACCUCAACUUUACUCAAGUCCUGCAGUAUCAAUGCCACCCUCCCGGUUAAGCCGGGAUAUUUCAGCACUGACUUAUAGGACCGCCUACGCACCCUUUAAACCCAAUAAAUCCGGACAACGCUUGCCACCUACGUAUUACCGCGGCGGCUGGCAC
Molecule: ribosomal RNA, 292 nt
Filed under: uncultured bacterium
Lineage: Bacteria
Also listed under: 1 other name
Description: partial 16S ribosomal RNA
Source: RNAcentral